Molecule: long non-coding RNA, 3082 nt
Organism: Peromyscus californicus insignis
Lineage: Eukaryota; Metazoa; Chordata; Mammalia; Rodentia; Cricetidae
Exons: 3
Source: RefSeq, a predicted model, not a curated record
AAUAAAUUUAGCCGGGCGGUGGUGGCGCACGCCUUCAAUCCCAGCACUCGGGAGGCAGAGGCAGGCGGAUCUCUGCGAGUUCGAGGCCAGCCUGGGCUACAGAGUGAGUUCCAGGAAAGGCGCAAAGCUACACAGAGAAACCCUGUCUCGGAAAACAAAACAAAACAAAAUUAUAAAUCUUAAGAGACUCCCAGAUCCUAGCAGUGACCCCAAGGUCUCCAAAGAAGAUGAUGGGGAACCAUGAUGACUCCACCUGGGUUUGGUAACACUAAUCACUGGGAAAGACUGCACCAAUGCCGCAUCUGCAGCCAGGACCCUGCCCAAACUGUGGGAAAAAUCUCUCACCUUAUGGGCCUGGUGGACAAAGACUGAUACUGUCCUGGUAUCUCUGCCCUGAAUGCCAUGGAGACCACAGAUGCCUGGGAUACUUAUCUAGGUAAUGGAUUAGUCUCUGCCAUUUUACCUGAUACACAGGCCAUUUGGAUUAUACUCAUUACAAUUUAUCCUUCUCAAAUAUCUGAUGGUAUUAAUGGCUAGGCUAAUUGUAACUGUUAGCUUAGUAGAAGCAGGCAACAGGGUUCUUCCCCAAGGUUACACCAGCUUGUUAUCUCAUUUAAUAUUGAUUUUUCUAGAGCUACUAGGUAUCCUGUUGAGAAAAGGUAGAUAGGUUUGCCUUGUUAAUAGGCUUUGUAUGAAGAGAUAAACAGGUUUCAGGUACAACUUUCCACUAAAGGAACAUGAUUUGAAAUUACUGCUCUCAGUAAUAACUGCUAUUGUCUCUGGUAAAUGAAUAGGUGGAAAAAAGGGUUAAAGUCGGGGGCUGGAGAGAUGGCUCAGAGGUUAAGAGCACUGACUGCUCUUCCAGAGGUCCUGAGUUCAAUUCCCAGCAACCACAUGGUGGCUCACAACCAUCUAUAAUGAGAUCUGGUGCCCUCUUCUGGCCUGCAGACAUAUGGGCAAGCAGAAUACUGUAUACACAAUAAAUAAAUAAAUAAAUCUUUAAAAAAAAAAAGGGUUAAAGUCUGUGCAAGUUUUGAGGGUCUAAGAAUGUUUUAAGAUAUAUCAAAGUCUGAGGAUAUAAAAGCUUAAAUACAUUUUAAGAAUCUCAGAAUGAUUUAAGAUGUAAAUGCAAGUAGUAAAGAUAUAAAUAAAUGAUUUAAGAUAUAUAAAAAUGGGAAAUGUUUCAGAUUUCUUUCCCCAUCUAUGCUUUCUAUGCUAUUGUUACAUUACACCAAGACUUCAAAAGUUCAGAGUUCUGAUACACAUCAAUGGAGUUCUGAUAAGCUGGUAGAGCACUGACUACUUACUGUUCAGUCAUAAGCUCAGAUUUUAGAUUUCUUUUGGUUGUCUUCUAAGUAUAUACUUAAAGAUGCUUCCAUUGGGCUAAAGACAUUUCAGCCCAGUUGAUACAUGGCUUUCUGGAGAGAGAAAAAAAUGUUCAUGCUUUUUAACCCAAAUCUAUAGCUUUUGCUAGAACUAAAAGAUGUGAAUCUACUCCAGCUAUUUUAUAGACACCAGUUACCUACUAAUGAUACCUAAAACUUUUAUAUCUUUUUAUAAACUUAGAAAAAUAAUCAUGUAAGCUUCAGCAAAUCAAGGGAGUCAUAAGACUUGGAUCCACUUCUCACAGGUCAAAAGGACCCCAGAUAAGUAUAGCCUAAGUUUCCCACCUGUCUAUUCCUGAAGAUGGUAUCUCUCUCUCCUGGUCUUGGGACUCCCCCCCUUCCCCAAUUACUAGGAUUAUGGUUGUGAAAAAGUUCCAAAUGUACUAUUUUCCUUUAAGUUCAUAAAUUUUAACUUCUUUCCAUAGUCUAUAUCUGUCUUAGCAGGUUUCUACUUAGCUGACAGACACAUGCAAGCAUCAGCUGUGGACUACAACCGGCUGCAAAUGACUGAGAGCCCUGGACUUGCUGAAGGCUGAUGUGGACCAGUCCAGCUGAUGUCAAUGCUCCCUAUCUCUUCAGCUGUCUCUGCAAACAAGAUGCUUCUGUUACAUGUCCCAUUGCUUGAAUUCCCUCUUGGCUUUGACUAGCAUUAUAGCCUUCCUGGGCCCUGACAACAAUGUCCUUGUCUCAGCAGGAAGUAGUUACAGAAGAGAGUACAUCACCCCUUGUCCCCCAACAGGCUGGAAUAUCAAAUCAAAAGGAAACUCCCUGGCAUAGGGGGCAAAACAGUUGCCUAUAGUGCCUAUUGGCAUACCAGGAAAGGUACCUGCUGGAACCAAAUAGACCCAAAUCUAUCAACAGGUAGAUUCAUUAGCUUAAAUAGGGCUAUGAUAGGGUACUCAAGCUGUUCUGUAAUGUAAAACAAAGACAUUAUCAUAUAGCUUUAAGAAAAAAAAUAUUAUUUCUAUAUAAACCACUCUGGAAUCAUUAGAAAUAAUCUGGCUGUACUAAAGGAAAUCACUGUAGAAAAGGGGGACCUGAGAUGAAAUAAAAACUGGUUCCCAUUCUCAUUUCCAGGUUCUUUUUUGAUAGAAACUCUGUCAUUCAUCAAGGGGCCUUUGGCCUUCUGCUUUUGCUAAUUGCUGUUGGCUCUUGCAUCAUUGAUGCCUUAACUAAAUGAUAAUUCCUGUCUGGGUAUCAUUAAGCUGAUGAUUAUUAGAUCCCAAUAUAAACAGGCACCCAUUACAGAGUCAAGGAUUUGACUCAGGAUACAUCUCAAGGGGGCAAUGUGAGAGUCAAAGUUACAUUUUAAGUUUUAAUUACUAUGCCUAAGAGAUCCAUGAAACAAAAAUGCCUCUGAUCUGCAAUCUCUUUUCCCAAGGACAGAUAGUUCCUAAAAUGCUGGAGGCUAUUCUUUAUGGGAGAUAACGAGCCACUUGUUUUUCAUUCCCCUAAACAAGUUUUUUGACCCAUCUGCAUUGAUGUACUUGGUCACAUAUGGGCAGGAGGUUCACAGGCUGGAGUUACGUCAGGAUGUAUGCUUGACCCUGAUUGGACCAGAUGGGAAAUGCAAUGAAUUACGGGUUUUCCUUCUUAAGUUGCUACAAAUUGUGAUUCUGGGCCAUUUUCCAGGAUCCUUGGUAUGGACCUGGCCAGAGCCUAUCCCCGUGGCCAGUAUUUAAUUAAAGAUUGCUUCA